CAACACGGGCAAGCUAUAGCAACCGUGCCGUGCGAAGUACUAGUAGAUGCGGUCGAUGUGUACGCCACAUCCCAGCGAGCCUGCACGCGUCCUCCUCUCCUAACGCGUGGCCGUGGCCGUGGGCAAUACAUCAUCAGCGGCCACAAACAGCGGCCGCCGCAUCUCACGAGGGGGGAGAAGCACCCUGAUGAUGGGUGAUGGCGCCAUCGAUCGGAAUCGGAAGGGGGGACGGACGAUGGUUGUGCCGCGCGGGCGAUCGAUCGAGGUCAUGGUGGACGCAGCCGAGGAGAUCGAUGAGACGGCCGAUCCAUCGAGGUGGACGCAGCCGACGAGAUGAGACAGCCGAGAACGAUGGAUGAGAUCCUCGAUCGGCCUUCUCAUGUCAUCCAUCCUUCUAAUUCCCUACUAGGUUCCGCUCCGCAUAUGGAUGAGGUGAGAUGGAUGAUGGCAUAUGCUGGUUCGGUGGGUUUCUAGUUGUAGAGUAUGUCUAAAGAAUGGUUGUAGAAUAUAUCCAGCCCAUAUAUAUAUAAUAGUUACGGUAACGAUUCUUAGUAAUUUAAGACAUAAAUACCCACUAUAUAUAGCAGUAUAUAUGUUUUAGAUAAUAAUACGCCAAUUGUUAGUAAUUCAAAACAUAGUAACGAUCGAAGUGAAUGGACCGUCACCAACCCAGAUCCUAUUAUAAGAUUGAAGGUGUGAUUCUGCUGAAAAUACUUACAGUGUGAUUCUGCUGAAAACAGGGGUGAAUUUUCCAUCCAUAUUUAAAAUCCUGUUCUCUUCAA
Long non-coding RNA from Triticum aestivum (bread wheat), 782 nucleotides. RefSeq lists it as uncharacterized. The transcript has 2 exons. NCBI's taxonomy places the organism in Eukaryota, Viridiplantae, Streptophyta, Magnoliopsida, Poales, Poaceae. The record is from RefSeq and is a predicted model, not a curated record.